AUAAAGCUGGAAUUGAUGAAACCCUUUCAGAGUUUGAAACUCUGAAAGGGUUAGAUGAAAACCGCAUCUUU
Molecule: unclassified non-coding RNA, 71 nt
Filed under: Flavobacterium succinicans
Lineage: Bacteria; Pseudomonadati; Bacteroidota; Flavobacteriia; Flavobacteriales; Flavobacteriaceae
Description: Flavo-1 RNA
Source: RNAcentral